UUCCCAUGUCUUUUGGAA
Molecule: small nuclear RNA, 18 nt
Filed under: Arabidopsis thaliana (thale cress)
Lineage: Eukaryota; Viridiplantae; Streptophyta; Magnoliopsida; Brassicales; Brassicaceae
Description: snRNA_00078
Source: RNAcentral